Molecule: long non-coding RNA, 627 nt
Organism: Pezoporus occidentalis (night parrot)
Lineage: Eukaryota; Metazoa; Chordata; Aves; Psittaciformes; Psittacidae
Exons: 3
Source: RefSeq, a predicted model, not a curated record
UGGGUCAGUCCCAAAGGGCGCGAUACAGCGAGGUCCCUGCUGCCUUGGGGUGGAAACACAGAGAGAGAGGAGAGAAAUUAAAGAUAAAGGUGAAAAAAAGCCAAUUCCGGUUUGUACCUGAAAUCGAGGGAAAGCGAUAUAUCUACCCAGCGAGCAUAAAAACACUUAAGGACAAGAUUGAAGGCUUUCCGAGAGAUCUGGACAGAAGUCAAAGCUAUCACUCGGAGGCUUGUUCCAAAUACCAAGAGAGAAAGAGAGAAGAAUAGAAGCGCACAGAUGCCCCGACGAAGGGAGAACAGCUCUGCUCCCAUUGUUGUGGAGUUAAACAGUGGAAGGGAGGGUUAACCUAAUCCAUCAAAUUGUCUGGAAAUUGUGAAGAAAAUUCAAAAACCAUAUGGUCUCCAAGCGCUCGCCUUCUCUCUGCUGCGGAGGGGCACGCUUGUUUCAGCAUGGCGAACCGCAGGAGGCUGUAUAUGCUCCAUUGUCGCUUGUCACUUCAGAGAAGAGGGCUCAUUUGUCCCCAGUUUUCAUGCUUUACGCUAAAAAUUACAACCCCAUCCAUUCUCAAAGAGGAGAAAGAUUUAUUUAGCCUCGGAGAAACUGGACCAAAAAAAAAAAAAGGAAAAA